UGGAUAGAGUACUGCCCUCCGAAGGCAGGGGUUGCUGGUUCGAUCCCAGCCGGGCGCGCCA
Molecule: transfer RNA, 61 nt
Filed under: Cupriavidus sp.
Lineage: Bacteria; Pseudomonadati; Pseudomonadota; Betaproteobacteria; Burkholderiales; Burkholderiaceae
Description: tRNA-Ser
Rfam family: tRNA
About the family: Transfer RNA (tRNA) molecules are approximately 80 nucleotides in length. Their secondary structure includes four short double-helical elements and three loops (D, anti-codon, and T loops).
Source: RNAcentral